UACAGAGGUCCCAAGCGUUGUUCGGAUUCAUUGGGCGUAAAGGGUGUGUAGGUGGCGCCGUAAGUCAGGUGUGAAAUCUCGGGGCUUAACUCCGAAACUGCAUUUGAUACUGCGGUGCUUGAGGACUGGAGAGGAGACUGGAAUUUACGGUGUAGCAGUGAAAUGCGUAGAGAUCGUAAGGAAGACCAGUGGCGAAGGCGGGUCUCUGGACAGUUCCUGACACUGAGGCACGAAGGCCAGGGGAGCAAACGGG
RNAcentral lists this ribosomal RNA (253 nucleotides) under uncultured bacterium. RNAcentral's name for it is "partial 16S ribosomal RNA". It matches the Rfam family "Bacterial small subunit ribosomal RNA", at positions 524 to 776 of the family's 1533-position model. The record is from RNAcentral.